Molecule: unclassified non-coding RNA, 345 nt
Filed under: soil metagenome
Description: partial contains 5.8S ribosomal RNA, internal transcribed spacer 2, and large subunit ribosomal RNA
Rfam family: 5.8S ribosomal RNA (bases 1-120)
Source: RNAcentral
GAUGAAGAACGCAGUGAAAUGCGAUACGUAAUGUGAAUUGCACAAUUCAGUGAAUCAUCGAGUCUUUGAACGCACAUUGCGCCCCCUGGUAUUCCGGGGGGCAUGCCUGUCCGAGCGUCAUUGCUGCCCUCAAGCACGGCUUGUGUGUUGGGCCUCCGUCCUCCUCCCGGGGGACGGGCCCGAAAGGCAGCGGCGGCACCGCGUCCGGUCCUCGAGCGUAUGGGGCUUCGUCACCCGCUCUUGUAGGCCCGGCCGGCGCUUGCCGACACAUCAAUCUUUUUUCCAGGUUGACCUCGGAUCAGGUAGGGAUACCCGCUGAACUUAAGCAUAUCAAUAAGCGGAGGA